AUUGAGCACUAAUAAUGCACGAAGAGUUUGCUAAGAACUUUCCUUUAUUAUUUCAUUUGUCUCACAAUUACCUGUAGGUAAAUAUAUCUUAUAUAUCCUGUAUUUCUCUCUUUUUCAAAUGAGAAAUUAAGUCUCAAAGAGGCUAAGUGGAAAACCACCCGUCCUCCUCCUCCUCCCUGGCUGCCAGAGUUUUGGGAGCAAAUCCUGUAACCGUGCAGAUGCCCUCCCUGAGGUGUGUCCCUGCAGCCUGCCUUCAUUCUCCUUGUGGUCAGGGAGAGGUGGCUCCCAGCUCCUCCCAAGCCUUCACUGCAGUUCCAGAGCUUCCAUCUGGACCCUCCCCUCUCAUAGUUUCUGCCCACCCUCAGCCACACGGCACUAGAGCAUGAGCUUCUCGGGGGCAGGACCAGACCUUAUGCAUCUUGACACUCCAUGGUGCCUAACACGUGUUCUUACCAUGGGGGUGUGGUCCUGGGACACGCAGCCCGGCCUCCCUGAGAUCUGAAGGACUGAGGGCUUCAUGCCCCGCUGCUGUGAGUGCUGCCAGCACCAUCCCCUGCCUGCCCUCUCUCUAGACAUUGCCCUCUGCUGAAGGGACCCACCCUGACCAUGGUCCCUGGAGCAGCCUCAGUUGAGUGAUGUACUUGUGAUAAGAGGGCCCUGCCCCUCUCACCCCGAUUCCGCACAACCUU
Molecule: long non-coding RNA, 689 nt
Filed under: Homo sapiens (human)
Lineage: Eukaryota; Metazoa; Chordata; Mammalia; Primates; Hominidae
Description: non-protein coding lnc-EXOC2-21:3
Source: RNAcentral